GACGAACGCUGGCGGCGUGCCUAAUACAUGCAAGUAGAACGCACAGUUUAUACCGUAGCUUGCUACACCAUAGACUGUGAGUUGCGAACGGGUGAGUAACGCGUAGGUAACCUGCCUGGUAGCGGGGGAUAACUAUUGGAAACGAUAGCUAAUACCGCAUAAUAUUGAUUAUUGCAUGAUAAUUGAUUGAAAGAUGCUAUUGCAUCAUUACCAGAUGGACCUGCGUUGUAUUAGCUAGUAGGUGAGGUAACGGCUCACCUAGGCGACGAUACAUAGCCGACCUGAGAGGAUGAUCGGCCACACUGGGACUGAGACACGGCCCAGACUCCUACGGGAGGCAGCAGUAGGGAAUCUUCGGCAAUGGACGAAAGUCUGACCGAGCAACGCCGCGUGAGUGAAGAAGGUUUUCGGAUCGUAAAGCUCUGUUGUAAGAGAAGAACGGGUGUGAGAGUGGAAAGUUCACACUGUGACGGUAUCUUACCAGAAAGGGACGGCUAACUACGUG
Molecule: ribosomal RNA, 505 nt
Filed under: uncultured bacterium
Lineage: Bacteria
Description: partial 16S ribosomal RNA
Rfam family: Bacterial small subunit ribosomal RNA
Source: RNAcentral